This 1554-nucleotide ribosomal RNA is filed under the name Staphylococcus aureus. Its description in RNAcentral is "16S ribosomal RNA". It matches the Rfam family "Bacterial small subunit ribosomal RNA". Lineage: Bacteria; Bacillati; Bacillota; Bacilli; Caryophanales; Staphylococcaceae. The record is from RNAcentral.
UUUAUGGAGAGUUUGAUCUUGGCUCAGGAUGAACGCUGGCGGCGUGCCUAAUACAUGCAAGUCGAGCGAACGGACGAGAAGCUUGCUUCUCUGAUGUUAGCGGCGGACGGGUGAGUAACACGUGGAUAACCUACCUAUAAGACUGGGAUAACUUCGGGAAACCGGAGCUAAUACCGGAUGAUAUUUUGAACCGCAUGGUUCAAAAGUGAAAGACGGUCUUGCUGUCACUUAUAGAUGGAUCCGCGCUGCAUUAGCUAGUUGGUAAGGUAACGGCUUACCAAGGCAACGAUGCAUAGCCGACCUGAGAGGGUGAUCGGCCACACUGGAACUGAGACACGGUCCAGACUCCUACGGGAGGCAGCAGUAGGGAAUCUUCCGCAAUGGGCGAAAGCCUGACGGAGCAACGCCGCGUGAGUGAUGAAGGUCUUCGGAUCGUAAAACUCUGUUAUUAGGGAAGAACAUAUGUGUAAGUAACUGUGCACAUCUUGACGGUACCUAAUCAGAAAGCCACGGCUAACUACGUGCCAGCAGCCGCGGUAAUACGUAGGUGGCAAGCGUUAUCCGGAAUUAUUGGGCGUAAAGCGCGCGUAGGCGGUUUUUUAAGUCUGAUGUGAAAGCCCACGGCUCAACCGUGGAGGGUCAUUGGAAACUGGAAAACUUGAGUGCAGAAGAGGAAAGUGGAAUUCCAUGUGUAGCGGUGAAAUGCGCAGAGAUAUGGAGGAACACCAGUGGCGAAGGCGACUUUCUGGUCUGUAACUGACGCUGAUGUGCGAAAGCGUGGGGAUCAAACAGGAUUAGAUACCCUGGUAGUCCACGCCGUAAACGAUGAGUGCUAAGUGUUAGGGGGUUUCCGCCCCUUAGUGCUGCAGCUAACGCAUUAAGCACUCCGCCUGGGGAGUACGACCGCAAGGUUGAAACUCAAAGGAAUUGACGGGGACCCGCACAAGCGGUGGAGCAUGUGGUUUAAUUCGAAGCAACGCGAAGAACCUUACCAAAUCUUGACAUCCUUUGACAACUCUAGAGAUAGAGCCUUCCCCUUCGGGGGACAAAGUGACAGGUGGUGCAUGGUUGUCGUCAGCUCGUGUCGUGAGAUGUUGGGUUAAGUCCCGCAACGAGCGCAACCCUUAAGCUUAGUUGCCAUCAUUAAGUUGGGCACUCUAAGUUGACUGCCGGUGACAAACCGGAGGAAGGUGGGGAUGACGUCAAAUCAUCAUGCCCCUUAUGAUUUGGGCUACACACGUGCUACAAUGGACAAUACAAAGGGCAGCGAAACCGCGAGGUCAAGCAAAUCCCAUAAAGUUGUUCUCAGUUCGGAUUGUAGUCUGCAACUCGACUACAUGAAGCUGGAAUCGCUAGUAAUCGUAGAUCAGCAUGCUACGGUGAAUACGUUCCCGGGUCUUGUACACACCGCCCGUCACACCACGAGAGUUUGUAACACCCGAAGCCGGUGGAGUAACCUUUUAGGAGCUAGCCGUCGAAGGUGGGACAAAUGAUUGGGGUGAAGUCGUAACAAGGUAGCCGUAUCGGAAGGUGCGGCUGGAUCACCUCCUUUCU